RNAcentral lists this long non-coding RNA (265 nucleotides) under Coffea arabica (coffee). RNAcentral's name for it is "long non-coding RNA (CARA_LNC005910)". Lineage: Eukaryota; Viridiplantae; Streptophyta; Magnoliopsida; Gentianales; Rubiaceae. The record is from RNAcentral.
AAAAAAUGAUCAAACUUUUGGACCCAUAUUCUGGUGCACAGAAAAUAAGGUUGAUGCUGGCCAGAAAGUCCAAAGAAUUCGACAGCUAAAAGAAGCAAAUUUGAAAUUUAGUUCCAAGGAAGAGCCCACAAGGACUGUGACAUGAGACUAUGGUUCCAUGUGGUUGACUAAGUUUUCAUUUUCUCAGUCAUAAGUUGUGUGUAUGUUCCUGCUUUCUAGACUCAAGUCACCACACCGAAUUGAGUACAUUGCCAAUUUUCAAUCU